AGCGGCGGACGGGUGAGUAACGCGUGGGUAACCUGCCUCAUACAGGGGGAUAACAGUUGGAAACGGCUGCUAAUACCGCAUAAGCGCACAGUACCGCAUGGUACGGUGUGAAAAACUCCGGUGGUAUGAGAUGGACCCGCGUCUGAUUAGGUAGUUGGUGGGGUAACGGCCUACCAAGCCGACGAUCAAUAGCCGACCUGAGAGGGUGACCGGCCACAUUGGGACUGAGACACGGCCCAG
This 240-nucleotide ribosomal RNA is filed under the name uncultured bacterium. Its description in RNAcentral is "partial 16S ribosomal RNA". It matches the Rfam family "Bacterial small subunit ribosomal RNA", at positions 94 to 334 of the family's 1533-position model. The record is from RNAcentral.